Molecule: ribosomal RNA, 117 nt
Filed under: uncultured bacterium
Lineage: Bacteria
Description: partial 16S ribosomal RNA
Rfam family: Bacterial small subunit ribosomal RNA
Source: RNAcentral
UAACGUUCCCGGGUCUUGUACACACCGCCCGUCACACCAUGGGAGCGGGUUUUACCAGAAGUAGGUAGCUUAACCGCAAGGGGGGCGCUUACCACGGUAGGAUUCGUGACUGGGGUG